AAACAAGUCUAAACUAUAUCCAAAAUCAACUAAUAAAAGAUUUUUGCAAAACUAUUACAAGCCAAGUCAUUUUUUUUCUUUCAAAUUUCCAUAUUUAUAACCAAAAUAUAGAUAUUAGCAUCGAACAGAUAGAGAUAAGCAUUGAGCACAAAUUACAUAAAGGCUUGCUGUCAGGUUGAGGGCAUUUGGAAGUGCAUUGAGCACAAAUUGGGUAGCCACUGUUGGUGAAGAAAUGCGCUGACACAUGCAAGGCUGUGCAAUUAGCAACAUAAAUGUGCUGAAUGUGAGUUGAUGUUGUGCUGAUCUGAACACAUAUUUGCAAUUUUCACCCACACUUCUAUUUCAGAGCAAUUUAAAGACCAAGAAUUAGUGAAAAUAUGAAGAAUUUCAUUUACAAGAUAUUGAUAUAUACACAAGUUAAAUAUACGAAUUCCAGCUAUAAAUCUUACUAGAUUCAACAAUGUACUACACAUAAACUCAAUUCUCCACCUAUAUCUACAUGUGUAGAUUUAUCUCCUUGCAAGGCCCAUAAUGCUAACACAUAAUUUAACACUAACAGUCCAAACUACUUCAUUUAGUCUUCUAAAGCUUCAAUCAAGUAGAACUAUCCUGCCCCAUUUCUCUCCAGGACUAGAUUUGUAUGAAUUUCUGCAACUAGGUUUGUCAUAGCUUCUUCAACUCUCUUAGCUCAAGCUCUUGUCAUCAGACUACCAUGAAUCGCCAAUGAAUUACUUGUAUUUGGCUGGUCUUUUUUGGUCUCCAUCACUUAUGCAUGUUUUAAGGUUAUAAGCUAAAUGUCUAAUAUAACGCUAAUGGCACCUCCCUCCCCGUUGAGAACACUGAAGAGCUAGAACAAUGGCUCAUAACCUAAUUGAUACUUGUGUGUUUUUAUUUGCCAUUCGCUUCUGGCAUGAGAUCAAGCUUAAUCAUUUUUCUUCUUUAUAGCUGUGUAAGUUCACCUGUUUCUGUUCUUCUCUUACAUUUUUCUCUUGUCUUGUAAUUCUACAACACCAUUUGUUUGCAGUGCAGUCAACAACCUACCUAUGGGAUACCCUGUGCUACAGAAGUCUUCCAUUCCUGCAGCUGGUCAACCACAUCUUGACUCCAUGGGUAGUGGUAUAUCAAGUUGUCAUGUAGUUAAUGGAGUCCUGGCAUCAAGCAACUCCCAUCCCAUUAGAAUUUCCGGGAAUGGGUGAGAACUUGUCUGAUCCUACACGCUUCUUCUAUUUAGGCCUUGUGUUUUUCUAAUGGCUUUGUAUAGGUGGCAUUUGUAUUUCAUUUUGUCUUAAAUGUUUAAAAUGAUAGUUACUUGUUGUGCAUAAGUAGCAACUGGUUUUUAUCAAUGAACUGCUUAGUGGCUUGGUUGAUAAUGUGUUUCAUGCAUUAUGCUUAGAGUGUUGUGGUUGUUGUGUACUUAAAUGUUAGUUAAAUUGGUGGAACGUGGAACAACUUCCUUCCUCUUCCUUUAUAGUAAUUUGCUUGAUGGAAUAAUGGUAGCUGCUUUUAUCCUUCUUGAAGUAUGGUGAUGGACCACAGUGCUCCUGUUAUUCCACCAAAUAGUGCGAUGUCAUCCUUGUCAGAAAUGCCAGUGAGUCCGACAUCAGUAGCAUCCAAUGGUCAUUUCCCCUUCACUCCAUCAGAAAUAUCAGGAAUGGGCACCGAUACAUCUAUCCUUGAUACGGCAUUCACAUCUGAUGUGGCAAGCUCCGUAGGACUUCAACUUGCACCGGACAAUGGCACGGGGAUUUCCAGAUCCCUGGAUCAAAUUCAGUGGAAUUUUAGUCUAUCUGACUUAACAGCAGAUUUGUCAAACUUGGGAGGUAAAUUCGUUUCUUUGCUCUGAGAUCCAUUUGUAGAUAAAUAGUCAAAGUUAACGUAAUUGGAGGCCUUCUGGAAGUUAUUUGAGAUUUACAACUUUUGAUGAUUUUGAGAACUUUGGCUUUUGUUGUAAUUUUCUUUUUCUUUUUAAAUCUUUACCCUGUGUGGACGUCUUCGUGCUUUAUUUAUGAAUUAUCUUUCUAUGCAGAUCUAGGAGCUCUAGGAAACUAUCCUGGUUCACCAUUUAUGCAGUCUGAUUCAGAUAUUUUGCUUGAAUCAUCGGAUCAAAAGGACAUAGGUAAGUGUGCACACACGCACACACACAUGUUUAUAUGCAUGUAUGUCCUUUUUUUAAUCUUCAAAUUUUAUAAAUUUGGUGAAUGGUAUUGACUGAAAUAGAUUUAGAUGGCAAUCAAAAGGAUCUACAAAAUUAUGAGCCUCCACAAGUGUACAAGGUACUCCAUGGGAAAACAGUAAUGUCAAGGUUUGCUUUAAAAGAAGUGUUAGCGUCUUCUCACACACCUGGUUUACAGUCAUGAAAGAUUGCAGAAUAUAGAAUAUAGACUCUAUUCUGUAAAACCUUGUUAAGAGAAGCAAACAUUGAAAUAAAUUGAACUACAAAGCUAUAAUGUGAAAUACUUCACAAAGAAAUCAAGUCUAAAAAAUUUAAAUUAGGAGAGCAUAUGAAACCAUGGAGAAUUUGAUAAUUUGGAAAAGAUAGAAAUGAAGAUAUCAAAACCAGACCAAAAUUAACUAAUGAUGCAAAAAUUUAGAUAAUUAUCUUUUGUUCAAAAUGUAUCACCUUCCAUGCGUGCUCCUUGAGGAGCAGUGCAAGUGCGCGAGUGCUGAUUGAUUGUAUGCCUUUGCACCAAUAAAUGAGCUGACAAAAGGUUCAAUGUUUGAGGUAAAAUAUCGUUGGGUGGCAUAAAAGUCAUCAUACUCAUUGUCCUGCCUGCUUGGUUGUGCGUCAGAAAAGAUGGACGCAGAUCCAGCUGAAACAAGUUGUAAUAGCUUUUGCGUCAAUUUGAUGAGUUGGACGUGAAAACUUGGGAAUACAUGAG
Molecule: long non-coding RNA, 2879 nt
Filed under: Glycine max (soybean)
Lineage: Eukaryota; Viridiplantae; Streptophyta; Magnoliopsida; Fabales; Fabaceae
Description: long non-coding RNA (GMAX_LNC004487)
Source: RNAcentral